RNAcentral lists this transfer RNA (69 nucleotides) under Rattus norvegicus (Norway rat). It matches the Rfam family "tRNA". From Rfam's summary of the family: Transfer RNA (tRNA) molecules are approximately 80 nucleotides in length. Their secondary structure includes four short double-helical elements and three loops (D, anti-codon, and T loops). Further hydrogen bonds mediate the characteristic L-shaped molecular structure. tRNAs have two regions of fundamental functional importance: the anti-codon, which is responsible for specific mRNA codon recognition, and the 3' end, to which the tRNAs corresponding amino acid is attached (by aminoacyl-tRNA synthetases). tRNAs cope with the degeneracy of the genetic code in two manners: having more than one tRNA (with a specific anti-codon) for a particular amino acid; and 'wobble' base-pairing, i.e. permitting non-standard base-pairing at the 3rd anti-codon position. The record is from Rfam by way of RNAcentral. Lineage: Eukaryota; Metazoa; Chordata; Mammalia; Rodentia; Muridae.
GGGGAUUUGGCUGAAUGGUAGAGCGCUUGCCUAGGAAGCACAAGGUCCUGGGUUCGGUCCCCAGCCCCG